This 275-nucleotide ribosomal RNA is filed under the name uncultured bacterium. RNAcentral's name for it is "partial 16S ribosomal RNA". It matches the Rfam family "Bacterial small subunit ribosomal RNA", at positions 524 to 796 of the family's 1533-position model. The record is from RNAcentral.
UACGGAGGGUGCAAGCGUUAAUCGGAUUUACUGGGCGUAAAGCGUCCGUAGGUGGUCUGUUAAGUUGGAUGUGAAAGCCCAGGGCUUAACCUGGGAACGGCAUUUCGAACUGUCAGGCUAGAGUAUGGUAGAGGAGUGUGGAAUUUCCUGUGUAGCGGUGAAAUGCGUAGAUAUAGGAAGGAACACCAGUGGCGAAGGCGGCACUCUGGACCAAUACUGACACUGAGGUGCGAAAGCGUGGGGGAGCAAACAGGAUUAGAUACCCCCGGUAGUCC